AACGCACAUUGCGCCCGCCAGCAUUCUGGCGGGCAUGCCUGUUCGAGCGUCAUUUCAACCCUCGAGCUCCCUUUGGGGAGCCCGGCGUUGGGGACCGGCAGCUACCGCCGACCCCGAAAUACAGUGGCGGCCCGUCACGGCGACCUCUGCGUAGUAAUCCAACCUCGCACCGGGAACCCGACGCGGCCACGCCGUAAAACACCCCAAUUCUGAACGUUGACCUCGGAUCAGGUAGGAAUACCCGCUGAACUUAA
Molecule: unclassified non-coding RNA, 254 nt
Filed under: Botryobasidium sp.
Lineage: Eukaryota; Fungi; Basidiomycota; Agaricomycetes; Cantharellales; Botryobasidiaceae
Description: partial contains 5.8S ribosomal RNA, internal transcribed spacer 2, and large subunit ribosomal RNA
Source: RNAcentral